GCCUAGGUAGCUCAGUUGGUAGAGCAUUGGACUGAAAAUCCUUGUGUCGGGGGUUCAAGCCCCCCCUUAGGCA
Molecule: transfer RNA, 73 nt
Filed under: Schizocladia ischiensis
Lineage: Eukaryota; Schizocladiophyceae; Schizocladiales; Schizocladiaceae
Description: tRNA-Phe
Rfam family: tRNA
About the family: Transfer RNA (tRNA) molecules are approximately 80 nucleotides in length. Their secondary structure includes four short double-helical elements and three loops (D, anti-codon, and T loops).
Source: RNAcentral